Molecule: non-coding RNA, 439 nt
Organism: Paramuricea clavata
Lineage: Eukaryota; Metazoa; Cnidaria; Anthozoa; Malacalcyonacea; Plexauridae
Source: the annotation of a GenBank genome assembly
AUGUUAGAAUAAGUUAUUUUCGUAUAAAAGAAUGACUGAAGUUCUUGGUCCAGAUAUAUAUAGAGUUCAGUGGGAUAACCUAAUGCAUUCCCAUAUGCCCGUUCGCAGGUUAGGUGAUGGGCAUACCUAACCUGCGAGCGGGCAUACUCUGGGUACGAGAUUGGGGACGAGUCAGAUGUAACGGUGCUUUUAAGUUUUAACCUUUUAACUAAUUAAUGCCGGGGACUUUCCUUUGCGAGUAAAAUACAGUAGAUAAAAUAGUCAAAGCAGGGCACAUCAGGGCAUAUUGCGGCUAAAGGGUAAUAAUGAAAGUGUAAUAAUUAUUGAAAGAUUUUCGACUAUUAAAAUGUUAAUUCUAAUAAUGAACGAAAAUAACAGAUAUCACUGUAUAACAUCCAAUGCAAAUUGAGCAUUGUUCAUUAUUACAACUAUAAUAAAU